Molecule: signal recognition particle RNA, 299 nt
Filed under: Aotus nancymaae (Ma's night monkey)
Lineage: Eukaryota; Metazoa; Chordata; Mammalia; Primates; Aotidae
Description: Metazoan signal recognition particle RNA (ENSANAG00000007783.1)
Rfam family: Metazoan signal recognition particle RNA
About the family: The signal recognition particle (SRP) is a universally conserved ribonucleoprotein. It is involved in the co-translational targeting of proteins to membranes.
Source: RNAcentral
GCCAGGCAUGGUGGCGUGCACCUGUAGUCCCAGUUACUUGGAAGGCUUAGGUGGGAGGAUCGCUUGAGCCCAGGAGUUCUGGGCUGUAGUGUGCUAUGCCAGUCGGGUGUCCACACUAAGUUCGUCAUCAAUAUGGUGACCUCCCAGGAGCGGGGGACCACCAGGUUGCCUAAGAAGGGGUGAACCGGCCCAGGUCAGAAACAGAGCAGGUCAAAAUUCCCGUGCUGAUCAGUAGUGGGAUCACGCCCGUGAAUAGCCACUGCACUCCAGCCUGGGCAACAUAGUGAGACCCUGUCUCU